Acanthosepion pharaonis is the source of this 96-nucleotide non-coding RNA. Lineage: Eukaryota; Metazoa; Mollusca; Cephalopoda; Sepiida; Sepiidae. The record is from the annotation of a GenBank genome assembly.
UGUUGAAACACCAGUUCCCAUAUGAUCACCAAAGUUAAGCAAAAUCAAACUUGGUCAGUACCUAGAUGGGUGACCACAGGAAUACUAGGUGCUAUA